AUGUGUCUGGUAGCAUGUUUGGGUCUCCAACGGAGGUUUGUGUGGCGCUUGGUGUGUUGGUAUCAGAGUUGAGUGAAGAGCCAUGGUUUAAUGAAGAUUACUAAUCCUCGCCGAGCCCUCUUUUUAAUUGAUAUGCCAUAUCUGAAUUCAAAAUGUCUUGGAUUAAGGGCAUAUUCUUUGCAAUUCAGCAAGACAUCCCGUAUAUUGGCAUGGUGUUCGCAAAUUGCAAUCCAGAAAGACUUCUGAUACUGUAAAGAAAGAAAAAGAACAUUCGAUUGAUCGAAUUGACUCAAAUAGAAAUCCGUGGGCCAAAAAGAGUGGCAGUCCCAGCAUUAAUUGAAGAAACAUAUAUAGAAUCGGAUCAUUGCCCCCACGUACUCCAGAAUUGAAUCACUGAUAGUGUUUGUGAUGCAGUCUGUGAUCUUCCUUGUGCAGGGGUCUUGCUGCUUGGCAUUUCUUGCGUACGAAAGAUGAAAUCUUCUGCGGAGCUGUUUCUGUACAUGGGUGUCAUUGUCACGCAUGCUUGCACCUUGUCUAUUAUUAUUGCAAAUGAGCUUUCGUUCCCAGCAUUAGUUUUGAUUAAUACUAAUAAACUAUUUCUCAAAAUUGUCGAAUUCAUUAAA
Populus nigra (black poplar) is the source of this 623-nucleotide long non-coding RNA. RefSeq lists it as uncharacterized. Lineage: Eukaryota; Viridiplantae; Streptophyta; Magnoliopsida; Malpighiales; Salicaceae. The transcript has 2 exons. The record is from RefSeq and is a predicted model, not a curated record.